RNAcentral lists this ribosomal RNA (253 nucleotides) under uncultured bacterium. RNAcentral describes it as "partial 16S ribosomal RNA". It matches the Rfam family "Bacterial small subunit ribosomal RNA", at positions 524 to 776 of the family's 1533-position model. The record is from RNAcentral.
UACGUAGGGUGCGAGCGUUAAUCGGAAUUACUGGGCGUAAAGCGUGCGCAGGCGGCUUCGCAAGUCAGACGUGAAAUCCCCGGGCUUAACCUGGGAAUGGCGUUUGAAACUACGGAGCUGGAGUGUGGCAGAGGGAGGUAGAAUUCCACGUGUAGCGGUGAAAUGCGUCGAUAUGUGGAGGAAUACCGAUGGCGAAGGCAGCCUCCUGGGCCAACACUGACGCUCAUGCACGAAAGCGUGGGGAGCAAACAGG